GAACCGUACAAACGUUAUUCGGAAUCACUGGGCUUAAAGGGUGCGUAGGCGGCCAGGUAAGUUGGGUGUGAAAUCCCUCGGCUCAACCGAGGAACUGCGCCCAAAACUACUUGGCUUGAGGGAGAUAGAGGUGAGCGGAACUUAGGGUGGAGCGGUGAAAUGCGUUGAUAUCCUAAGGAACACCGGUGGCGAAAGCGGCUCACUGGAUCUCUUCUGACGCUGAGGCACGAAAGCUAGGGUAGCGAACGGGAUUAGAUACCCCGGGUAGUCCUAGCUGUAAACGAUGAGCACUGGGUUGGAGGCCCCCCCCCGAUAGGCUUCCGGCCGAAGCGAAAGUGUUAAGUGCUCCGCCUGGGGAGUAUGGUCGCAAGGCUG
This 375-nucleotide ribosomal RNA is filed under the name uncultured organism. RNAcentral's name for it is "partial 16S ribosomal RNA". It matches the Rfam family "Bacterial small subunit ribosomal RNA", at positions 527 to 896 of the family's 1533-position model. The record is from RNAcentral.